CCUACGGGAGGCAGCAGUGAGGAAUAUUGGUCAAUGGGCGCGAGUCUGAACCAGCCAAGCCGCGUGAAGGAUGACGGAUCUAUGGUUUGUAAACUUCUUUUAUAUGGGAAUAAAGUGAGGAACGUGUUCCUUUUUGUAUGUACCAUACGAAUAAGCAUCGGCUAACUCCGUGCCAGCAGCCGCGGUAAUACGGAGGAUUCGAGCGUUAUCCGGAUUUAUUGGGUUUAAAGGGUGCGUAGGUGGUUAAUUAAGUCAGAGGUGAAAGUUUGUGGCUCAACCAUAAAAUUGCCGUUGAUACUGGUUGACUUGAGUAUAUUUGAGGUAGGCGGAAUGCAUGGUGUAGCGGUGAAAUGCUUAGAGAUCACGCAGAACUCCGAUUGCGAAGGCAGCUUACUAAGCUAUAACUGACAUUGAAGCACGAAAGCGUGGGGAUCAAACAGGAUUAGAUACCCGUGUAGUC
RNAcentral lists this ribosomal RNA (460 nucleotides) under uncultured bacterium. Its description in RNAcentral is "partial 16S ribosomal RNA". It matches the Rfam family "Bacterial small subunit ribosomal RNA", at positions 338 to 795 of the family's 1533-position model. The record is from RNAcentral.